UAUCUGUUUUAAAGUGUUAUUGAUUUGUACAUUUAUACUUUUAGAAUGUUCUGAUUAAUAUCAUUUUGUUUUGUUUUUAGACACUUUGAAUAGCUGAACAAUAUAAAUCACCAUGCUAAAUGUAUGCACAUAAACCUUUUGCUCUAACUACAAAAUAUUAAGUUCUUUAAUGCUAGUACACUUUAAAUGAAAAUUUAAAGUAGCUUUGAUGUUUUCAUACUUUUUCAAUACCAAAAUCUAGAAUCAAGUUCCUGCUGAAUUGUACUUGCAUAUGAACAUAUAACACAUUGAAUAUUUAACAUAAAUUUAUGUGGUUUAGAUUACAUUGGUUUCCAAACUGUUUUGUUACUGUUUGAUGUGUCAAAAGAGGUAUUGGGGAAGGUUUAAAGGACAAAACAUAGUAAAACACAAACAUAUUUCAAUCAGAAAAUGAUUUAUAUAAUAAUGAUCCUAAAAUUUUUUGAACAAACAAAGUAGAAAUACAAUAUGAGAGCAGUACUAGAUUUUAUUGAAUUGUAUUAAAAUACUUGCUUUAAAUUAAGCAUUAGCUCCAAAUCUUUGUCUGGCUACUCAGAUGACUCAUGAGUUGGGAACCCGUGCUUUAGAAUAUCGUACUAGAAUCAGAAAUGUUUAUCUUCUGUAAAGAUUUGAUACAUUACUAUAUAAAACUAUAGAAAUAAUCUAAACUCCCACUUGUAGGAAGCCCUUCAGGACAUGUGAUGGUGACCGCCUGUGUGUUAUUUCAGAUUAUCAAAGCUCUGACAGAAAGACAAGGAAUCCUUGUAAAAGUGGGAGGUUGGAGUAUGUAUGCUGUAGUUGUAGUGUUUGUUGGAACUGCUCGAGUAUUUAUUGCUGCUCACUUUCCACAUCAGUGCUUACUUGGCUUUAUAGUUGGUAAGUAACCAUACACACUCUUCUGAGUAUUCAAUAUGAUAAUAAUAACAUUUCAGAAUCCUUGUAAAAGUGGGAGGUUGGAGUAUGUAUGCUGUAGUUGUAGUGCUUGUUGGAACUGCUCGAGUGUUUAUUGCUGCUCACUUUCCACAUCAGUGCUUACUUGGCUUUAUAGUUGAUAAGUCAAGAUUCAGCCUAUAAUGUGACUUA
This is a long non-coding RNA of Limulus polyphemus (Atlantic horseshoe crab), 1101 nucleotides long. RefSeq lists it as uncharacterized. The transcript has 3 exons. NCBI's taxonomy places the organism in Eukaryota, Metazoa, Arthropoda, Merostomata, Xiphosura, Limulidae. The record is from RefSeq and is a predicted model, not a curated record.